This 460-nucleotide ribosomal RNA is filed under the name uncultured bacterium. RNAcentral describes it as "partial 16S ribosomal RNA". It matches the Rfam family "Bacterial small subunit ribosomal RNA", at positions 338 to 795 of the family's 1533-position model. The record is from RNAcentral.
CCUACGGGUGGCAGCAGUGAGGAAUAUUGGUCAAUGGACGAGAGUCUGAACCAGCCAAGUAGCGUGAAGGAUGACUGCCCUCUGGGUUGUAAGCUUCUUUUAUAAAGGAAUAAAACGAGGCACGUGUGCCUUUUUGCAUGUACUUUAUGAAUAAGGAACGGCUAACUCCGUGCCGGCAGCCGCGGUAAUACGGAGGAUCCGAGCGUUAUCCGGAUUUAUUGGGUGUAAAGGGAGCGUAGAUGGGUUGUUAAGUCAGUUGUGAAAGUUUGCGGCUCAACCGUAACACUGCAAUUGAUACUGGCAGUCUUGAGUACAGGAGAGGUAGGCGGAAUUCGUGGUGUAGCGGUGAAAUGCUUAGAUAUCACGAGGAACCCCGAUGGCGAAGGCAGCUUACUAAACUGUGACUGACAUUGAGGCUCGAAAGUGUGGGUAGCAAACAGGAUUAGAUACCCGGGUAGUC